UUCNGCCUCUAGCCUUUCGUGUUACUUGACCU
This 32-nucleotide non-coding RNA is filed under the name Mus musculus (house mouse). Lineage: Eukaryota; Metazoa; Chordata; Mammalia; Rodentia; Muridae. The record is from RNAcentral.